RNAcentral lists this ribosomal RNA (652 nucleotides) under uncultured bacterium. RNAcentral's name for it is "bacterial SSU rRNA". It matches the Rfam family "Bacterial small subunit ribosomal RNA", at positions 232 to 884 of the family's 1533-position model. The record is from RNAcentral.
CGCGGCCUAUCAGCUUGUUGGCGAGGUAACGGCUCACCAAGGCAACGACGGGUAGCUGGUCUGAGAGGAUGGCCAGCCACAUUGGGACUGAGAUACGGCCCAGACUCCUACGGGAGGCAGCAGUGGGGAAUCUUGCGCAAUGGCCUAACGGCUGACGCAGCGACGCCGCGUGUGGGAUGAAGCUCCUCGGAGUGUAAACCACUGUUGCCCGGGACGAAUAGCUCGAUUAAUCGAGCCUGACGGUACCGGGUGAGGAAGCACCGGCUAACUCCGUGCCAGCAGCCGCGGUAAUACGGGGGGUGCGAGCGUUGUCCGGAAUCACUGGGCGUAAAGGGCGCGUAGGUGGUUUGAUAAGGGUGUGGUGAAAGUCCGGGGCUCAACCCCGGAUCUGCCGUGCCGACUGUCAAACUCGAGGACUGUAGAGGCAGACGGAAUUCCGGGUGUAGCGGUGGAAUGCGUAGAGAUCCGGAGGAAGACCGGUGGCGAAGGCGGUCUGCUGGGCAGUUUCUGACACUGAGGCGCGACAGCGUGGGGAGCAAACAGGAUUAGAUACCCUGGUAGUCCACGCCGUAAACGAUGGGUACUAGGUGCCUGGGGGAGCGACCCUCUGGGUGCCGGCGCUAACGCAGGAAGUACCCCGCCUGGGAGUACG